GACGAACGCUGGCGGCGUGCUUAACACAUGCAAGUCGAGCGGUAAGGCCCUUUCGGGGGUACGACGAGCGGCGAACGGGUGAGUAACACGUGGGUGACCUGCCCUCAGCUCUGGGAUAAGCCCGGGAAACUGGGUCUAAUACCGGAUAUGACUCCACGGUGCAUGUCGUGGGGUGGAAAGCCUUGUGCGGCUGAGGAUGGGCCCGCGGCCUAUCAGCUUGUUGGUGGGGUGAUGGCCUACCAAGGCGACGACGGGUAGCCGGCCUGAGAGGGCGACCGGCCACACUGGGACUGAGACACGGCCC
RNAcentral lists this ribosomal RNA (304 nucleotides) under uncultured bacterium. Its description in RNAcentral is "bacterial SSU rRNA". It matches the Rfam family "Bacterial small subunit ribosomal RNA", at positions 28 to 332 of the family's 1533-position model. The record is from RNAcentral.